CGGGAUGUAGCGCAGUCUGGUAGCGCACCUGCUUCGGGAGCAGGGGGUCGCUGGUUCGAAUCCAGUCAUCCCGACCA
This 77-nucleotide transfer RNA is filed under the name Desulfuromonas sp. RNAcentral's name for it is "tRNA-Pro". It matches the Rfam family "tRNA". From Rfam's summary of the family: Transfer RNA (tRNA) molecules are approximately 80 nucleotides in length. Their secondary structure includes four short double-helical elements and three loops (D, anti-codon, and T loops). Further hydrogen bonds mediate the characteristic L-shaped molecular structure. tRNAs have two regions of fundamental functional importance: the anti-codon, which is responsible for specific mRNA codon recognition, and the 3' end, to which the tRNAs corresponding amino acid is attached (by aminoacyl-tRNA synthetases). tRNAs cope with the degeneracy of the genetic code in two manners: having more than one tRNA (with a specific anti-codon) for a particular amino acid; and 'wobble' base-pairing, i.e. permitting non-standard base-pairing at the 3rd anti-codon position. The record is from RNAcentral. Lineage: Bacteria; Pseudomonadati; Thermodesulfobacteriota; Desulfuromonadia; Desulfuromonadales; Desulfuromonadaceae. RNAcentral also lists the same sequence under 6 other names.